UCUUGCGGAAGGAUCAUUA
This 19-nucleotide ribosomal RNA is filed under the name Polycauliona coralloides. Its description in RNAcentral is "partial 18S ribosomal RNA". Lineage: Eukaryota; Fungi; Ascomycota; Lecanoromycetes; Teloschistales; Teloschistaceae. The record is from RNAcentral.